This 75-nucleotide transfer RNA is filed under the name Palleronia pontilimi. RNAcentral's name for it is "tRNA-OTHER". Lineage: Bacteria; Pseudomonadati; Pseudomonadota; Alphaproteobacteria; Rhodobacterales; Roseobacteraceae. The record is from RNAcentral.
GCGGGAAAUCCGUAGGAAAGGCGUCAACAUCAAACUCAUAACCUGAAGGUCGUAGGUUCAAAUCCUACUCCCGCA